CGCGAUUUCAAGGUAUUUUUCAACACUAAAAGUCAAGCAUGUGAACAAUUCUUCUACGGAGGGUGUGAGGGAAAUGACAACAACUUCGAAACUUUGCAGAAAUGUCAGAGUAAAUGCGGCGGAUACAAAUUUGAUCCAAAAUGCCCAAGUGUUCAAAGAGAUCAAGCCGGAAUCUGCAUCUUUUCAUGCUCUUCUAACAGUGACUGCAAGCGGGAAGGUCAAAUCUGCUGUAGCAACGGAUGUGGUUCAACUUGUGUAUAUCCACUAUUGGAUAAACGUUGCCCCGCGCCAGAUCCAGAAAUUAUAAGAACACUUCAUGCUCGACGUUGCCUUCACCCAUCCUGCUUCUCUAAUGAUGUUUGCCAAAGGGGGAAUAUCUGUUGCAGUAACGGAUGUCAACAAAAUUGUAUAUCACCUCCAUUCACGGAUCCUAGAUGUCAAAUAGUUACGGAAAAGCC
Styela clava is the source of this 458-nucleotide non-coding RNA. The record is from RefSeq and is a predicted model, not a curated record. Lineage: Eukaryota; Metazoa; Chordata; Ascidiacea; Stolidobranchia; Styelidae.